Molecule: non-coding RNA, 303 nt
Organism: Equus caballus (horse)
Lineage: Eukaryota; Metazoa; Chordata; Mammalia; Perissodactyla; Equidae
Source: RefSeq, a predicted model, not a curated record
GUGCGUUGGUCUCUGGCACGAGACUGUGAGCGCCUGGAGCGCGGGAAGUGGCCUCUCUGGCUGGGUACCCAGCGCGCAGCGUGGGGUUUGACAUGUAGGAGCUCUGAAUAAUAAGCAACAAAAAGUGUAUGGGGGUCGGGGGUAGCUCGGAGGGAGCGUACUGAAUACGGUUGCCUAAUCCAGUCCAGAGAGGAAAUGGCACCUCCUUCCUUAAAUGAAGAUACUGCAUUAAAACAUAUUUUGCAAUUAAAGUGUCAGUAAAGAAAUGACUUGAGUUCAAACCAAUAAAUCAGCCAAACAUUC